This is a long non-coding RNA of Tripterygium wilfordii, 1582 nucleotides long. RefSeq lists it as uncharacterized. The record is from RefSeq and is a predicted model, not a curated record. The transcript is spliced from 7 exons. Lineage: Eukaryota; Viridiplantae; Streptophyta; Magnoliopsida; Celastrales; Celastraceae.
UUUAUUUGGGCCAUGAUUCGGGAUCCAGAAACACCCUUAAAUACCAGAGUUCGUAAAUUGCCGCUUAUUUCUGUUUUGUAUCCCAAGAAAUCGCAGUGUUUGUUGGAGAGACGAAGAAGAGACGUGCUCGCUGAUCGGCACAGCUGAUGGCGUCGAGUUCUCUGAAGGAUUCAUUGACAUAGUUCGUGCUUGACAAGACUCCACAAUAAACGCACAUGCGAUCCGUCCACGAGAUCGACGUCUCGUAAACCCUAAUUUCUGUCUCGCGACGAUCUGAGGAUAAAUCCCAUCGAUCAGAUCGACGUCUCGCAAAACCUUAACCUCGUCCGUCUAUUUCUAUCUUCUACACGAAGAAAAAGCAAAAAGUGAGAAAAACGAAGAAGAGACACUCUCGCUAUCGACCCUACCGAUGACGUCCUCUAGUUCUCUGAAGGAGUCAUUGACAUCGAUCGUGCUUGACAAGUCUUUCUUAUUGUUUACAAACGACAACAGCUGCAAGGAGAAACGCACCUGCCAUCCGUCCACGAGAUUGACUUCUCGCAAAACCCUAAGCUCUGUCUCGAAGGCGCGACAUCUGAGGAGAAAUCUCAUCGAUCAGUCACACAUUGAGGUCCUCAAGGACGAGGCCUCCCUCCCUCGUGUUCUUGAAGAGGAAAGGACUGUGAAAUUGACGUUUUCCAGGUGCCUAACAUGAAUAAAAUUGACGUUUGCCAGCAGCCUAGAAGUAGUUGAAUUCCAAAAAUUUUUAGUCUGCGCUAUAUGCGUCAUUACUUUCCUUAGUGUUUCUUGCCAGCCAAACAGACGAUUCUAGCCCUUGAAGAUUAGGUGUUAUUCAAUCUUUAUCAACCGUAUGCUAUUUCAUGUAAGGCAAGCAGCAUCGCCUUGAUGCCUUUUACCUUCUCAAAAAAAAAGUAAUGUUAAAUGGUGAUUGGUGAACAAUGAUUUGGAUGAAAGAUACAGAUAAAAGCAUUCUAGGCCUAGCCAGUGGUGGAUGAAGCAGAGAAAGAGAAUAAGAAGAUAGAUGGGCAGUCAGGACAGAUCAAUGAAACGUAGGAAGCAAUGAAGUUAUAUCCAGCACCAUAUAUAAAUAUCUAUCUAGAUGUUUCUGAUAUCUUUUUUUGUUCUUUGUUCCACUUUUCAUAUGCAGAUCGCCGUAUCUCGUGGUCUCGAAUGUUUUCAAAAUUCCUCCACUUUAAAAUGUGGCUGCUUUGAUGACUGAUGAGAUAAACUUUGUCAAGCAUAUUUUCCAGUCCUUUUCUUGAAUUUGACCACAUGAUGACCCAUGUUAAAAGUUGGCUUCACCUGAUGAGUCACAAAGCGAUGUUUCAUAAGCAGAGUUGUUAGAGGCACAGAUCGCCACAUCUUGUGGAAGCAGAACUUCAUCAACUUAGGGUCAUCUUGAGCCAGCUAUUCUAACAGAGAAAUUUCUUAUGUGAUUUUCAGGAUAUUACAACAUGUUCCAGAAAUAGCAGUUUGCUUGCUGUGAUUGCAUGUACUACAACAGCUGCAGGUCAGUUUAUCAUACGGAACUAAUGCGCUCUUUAUCAAAAUAAUCUUAAGGAAAAUCAAGAACUAAUAAUAA